This 496-nucleotide ribosomal RNA is filed under the name uncultured bacterium. RNAcentral's name for it is "partial 16S ribosomal RNA". It matches the Rfam family "Bacterial small subunit ribosomal RNA", at positions 29 to 507 of the family's 1533-position model. The record is from RNAcentral.
AUGAACGCUGGCGGCGUGCCUAAUACAUGCAAGUCGAGCGAACGGACGAGAAGCUUGCUUUUCUGAUGUUAGCGGCGGACGGGUGAGUAACACGUGGAUAACCUACCUAUAAGACUGGGAUAACUUCGGGAAACCGGAGCUAAUACCGGAUAAUAUUUUGAACCGCAUGGUUCAAAAGUGAAAGGCGGUCUUGCUGUCACUUAUAGAUGGAUCCGCGCUGCAUUAGCUAGUUGGUAAGGUAACGGCUUACCAAGGCAACGAUGCAUAGCCGACCUGAGAGGGUGAUCGGCCACACUGGAACUGAGACACGGUCCAGACUCCUACGGGAGGCAGCAGUAGGGAAUCUUCCGCAAUGGGCGAAAGCCUGACGGAGCAACGCCGCGUGAGUGAUGAAGGUCUUCGGAUCGUAAAACUCUGUUAUUAGGGAAGAACAUAUGUGUAAGUAACUGUGCACAUCUUGACGGUACCUAAUCAGAAAGCCACGGCUAACUACGUG